AAAGAAAUAAAUUUAAUCAUGUAUAAAUAUUGUUAUUUUCCGAUAAAGGGAAAACCCAAUCAGCAUGGCAAAGAGAGUGUAACAACGUUGCGGUGAAGGGAAACUUGAGGAAAAAGCAACAUUUCGAAAUCCAGAUGAGUUCUACUUCUACUUCAAGAUGGUUAAAACAAAAACUGUGCAUAAAUUGGAGUAAGUUACUAAUAUUCAUAUAUGCUGAUUGAGCUAAUUUCUGCCUCAUUCGUGGUUGAUCUGACUUGUGAGACAUUGUUUCGAUAUUUCAAGUACACAAUCAGUUUGGAGAUAUCUACUUAAUUGUUGAAAUCUUAUCACUUGAUCUAGAUUGAACAAUUGAGCCAUGUCUAUGGAGGAUUAACGAUUUCGUCCUGUUUGUAGUGCCAUGUCUGAUGGAUGGAUGCACAAGCUUUAUUCACAAAUAAUAUAUAGUUGUUCUAUUGUUCCAAGAAAAAAAAGUUAAAGUAUCUUCAUAUCACGAGUUCAGGUGAACAGCUGCCUAUUUGGUUUCUUUGGGUAUUGAAACUCAACAUUUUUUUUGUAUGAGUGAAAUCUUUAGAUCUAUUGGAAUCACAUGAUCAAAGUGUCCAAAAAGUAGUUAUGGCAGUAAUUAGCAAUCUGUUAGUAGUCAGGAAAGUGGUGAGGCUGAUUGUUAGUUAGUUAUAACUAAUUACUGCUUCAAAUUUGUGAUUUCUAUAAAUAAGAUGUGUAAUUCAUAAUAUUUUUUCCUCUU
This is a long non-coding RNA of Solanum pennellii, 745 nucleotides long. RefSeq lists it as uncharacterized. The transcript has 2 exons. NCBI's taxonomy places the organism in Eukaryota, Viridiplantae, Streptophyta, Magnoliopsida, Solanales, Solanaceae. The record is from RefSeq and is a predicted model, not a curated record.